GGCCUAACACAUGCAAGUCGAGCGGUAACAGGAAAGUGCUUGCACUUUUGCUGACGAGCGGCGGACGGGUGAGUAAUGUCUGGGGAUCUGCCCGAGGGCGGGGGAUAACCACUGGAAACGGUGGCUAAUACCGCAUAAUGUCGCNAGACCAAAGUGGGGGACCUGAAAGGGCCUCACGCCCGCGGAUGAACCCAGAUGGGAUUAGCUAGUCGGUAGGGUAAUGGCCUACCGAGGCGACGAUCCCUAGCUGGUCUGAGAGGAUGACCAGCCACACUGGGACUGAGACACGGCCCAGACUCCUACGGGAGGCAGCAGUGGGGAAUAUUGCACAAUGGGCGCAAGCCUGAUGCAGCCAUGCCGCGUGUAUGAAGAAGGCCUUCGGGUUGUAAAGUACUUUCAGCGGGGAGGAAGGGUUUAGCCUGAACAGGGUUGAAUUUUGACGUUACCCGCAGAAGAAGCACCGGCUAAG
This 469-nucleotide ribosomal RNA is filed under the name Photorhabdus luminescens. Its description in RNAcentral is "bacterial SSU rRNA". It matches the Rfam family "Bacterial small subunit ribosomal RNA", at positions 45 to 501 of the family's 1533-position model. The record is from RNAcentral. Lineage: Bacteria; Pseudomonadati; Pseudomonadota; Gammaproteobacteria; Enterobacterales; Morganellaceae.